GGAUGUGAGGGCAAUCUGGCUGACAUCUGUCACCCCAUUGAUUGCCAGGGUUGAUUUGGCUGAUCUGGCUGGCUAAGCAGGUGUCCCCUUCCUCCCUUACCGCUCCAUGUGCAUCCCUUCUGAAGCUGCGCACUUGGUUGAAGAGGACGACCUUCCCCGCUAGAGAAGGACCGGUCUUUGGUCAAGGGUAUACGAGUAGCUGUGCUCCUCUGCUAGAACCUCCAAACAAGCUCUCAAAGAUUUAUUGAUUUAUUUGAAAGGCAGAGAAGGAGAGAGAGAGAGAGAGAGAUAAAUCUCUUUGGUCCACUGAUGAUAUUGCAACAGCCAGGUCUAGG
This 335-nucleotide small nuclear RNA is filed under the name Oryctolagus cuniculus (rabbit). RNAcentral describes it as "7SK RNA". It matches the Rfam family "7SK RNA". From Rfam's summary of the family: 7SK was discovered as an abundant small nuclear RNA in the mid-70s but a possible function has only recently been suggested. The record is from Rfam by way of RNAcentral. Lineage: Eukaryota; Metazoa; Chordata; Mammalia; Lagomorpha; Leporidae.